AGCGCUCGCUGGCUGGCUGGCUAACGGAAAGGCUGGCUGGACUCGGGGAUCCAGCCACACUGCUGGCGGGCAGCAUGCUGUCCACCCUGCGGGUGCCUUUCUCAGACUAGGGCCCGCAUGAAUUCCGCCUCCCGGGAGAAGCUGACGUCGGCAUGCCUUCCAGGGGCAGCGGCUGCCCUCCAGGGUCUGGAACUUGGGGGUCAUGCUGCCUCCAACUCCUGACUCUGUGGCCCCAAGAGGAAGAGGAAGCUGGGUGGGAUCUUAGGGGCCAUGUGGACUAGGCAGCCCACUGGGUAAGAAGGGGAAAUUGAGGCCCGGGAAGGGAGGGAGACUUGUCCAAGGCGCACAAGGCUGUGAAAGACAUGACUGGCCCCCAGGCCACUGUGCACCUUCUGAGCCGGCUCCCUGCAGUUCCCUGAGGGCACUGAGAGCUGCAGAGCCUGGAAGUGGAGUCCCUGCGGGCAGUGCAGGUGAAGGUGGCUCCUCACACACAGGGGUCAUGGGGGGAUCUGAACCCACAUCCCCAGCCAGCCUGAAAUGUCACUCAUCGAGUUUCAGUCUUUCGAAUCAAGCUGUGGAAAAUCACACCCACCCUCUUUUCCCUUCCGCAGGGAGUGGGCACGUGAAAAGUACUUUGGGACACGGAGUUCCAAUCAAACAGAAGACUGGAACCUCAGCACCUCCAAAGCUCACGGACCCGCUGGUGAGGGCUGCCCGGACUGCUGAUUCCACUCAGCCACUCACCACCCGCCCUGUCUGCCAGGUGCCAUGUGCAAGGAUGCUGCAUUUUCUGCUAAUGGGGGUGGGGGAUGGCAGGAGACAUAAUGGGGUGGGGAGGGGUCAUUGCUAUUGUCGUCAUCACUCUUUGUCACCCCAAUGGCAUUCUAUACCUUCUUUUGCAUCUGAUCUCAAGGCAUCAAGAAUAUGAAAAACAGCUCUUCUGUCCCCAAAAGGGAGAUCUUACCUUAAGCAAUGGGAUUACCAUUAAGUACAAGACAUUUGACAUUAAACCAUUAAGCACAAGACAUUUGACAUUAAUCCCAGGACAGGAUGGGAGGAAGGGCCCUGACCAGGAGGGGGGCACUCCAGAGUCGGCCACCCGCUGCCCUUGCCCUGACCUGUCCCGUAGCUCUCCUCGUCACAGGCUCAGACUCCACGUCCCUACCCGAGACCCUCUGACUGUGGCCAAGCUCCAGCCCUACCCUAUCCC
Molecule: long non-coding RNA, 1210 nt
Filed under: Homo sapiens (human)
Lineage: Eukaryota; Metazoa; Chordata; Mammalia; Primates; Hominidae
Description: HSALNT0305502
Source: RNAcentral